UACGUAGGGUGCGAGCGUUGUCCGGAAUUAUUGGGCGUAAAGAGCUUGUAGGCGGUUUGUCGCGUCUGCUGUGAAAAUCCGGGGCUCAACCCCGGACUUGCAGUGGGUACGGGCAGACUGGAGUGUGGUAGGGGAGACUGGAAUUCCUGGUGUAGCGGUGGAAUGCGUAGAUAUCAAGAGGAACACCAGUGGCGAAGGCGAGUCCCUGGACAAUACCUGACACUGAGGCACGAAAGCUAGGGGAGCAAACAGG
RNAcentral lists this ribosomal RNA (253 nucleotides) under uncultured bacterium. Its description in RNAcentral is "partial 16S ribosomal RNA". It matches the Rfam family "Bacterial small subunit ribosomal RNA", at positions 524 to 776 of the family's 1533-position model. The record is from RNAcentral.